Molecule: long non-coding RNA, 5673 nt
Organism: Scylla paramamosain (green mud crab)
Lineage: Eukaryota; Metazoa; Arthropoda; Malacostraca; Decapoda; Portunidae
Exons: 3
Source: RefSeq, a predicted model, not a curated record
AGGCACAGUGGGUAGAAGGGAGUGGUUGUCGUCAAGGGUAGAGCUGACCACAGGGCCUCAGAGGUCAACCUAUAGGCUUAUGUCAGCGUCCCCUCGUCCUGUGACUCACUCUUGCUAUGGUUUCACAUGGAGCCAAUUUCUUGCUUGUAGGUCGAGUUCUUACUGUAGCCGCACCGGCUGGGCAUCAAUUGGCUCUCAGGUGAUCUGUUUUACUGAUCACACCCAUCAUCGUAGGGUCGAGGAAGGGCAGUUCUCCCUGACACGUUUAUUGAUGAGGUAGGCAUGACUGUAAGAACUGCGAACAAGUUCUCGGUCUCAAUUUUUUACAAAAUAACAUUAUACACUGAUAUUAAACACUUUCAACAUAUUAUAAUAUUCAUGACUAAUACAUGCGAUUAACUUGGCACUAUGACAAUAAGUUUUUACUACAAAAUUAAAGUAUUUACCUCGGUCACCAUCCUGCCCGUCUUUGUCUGAGCGCGACUUGGUCGUGAGUGAUGCCCACAGGGAACCAGCAGGUUAACCCCACACUACCAACAAGCAGUAAUAUAAAACUUAAACUCCUUUACUGGUUAAGAGUUGUGAGUGAGGGUCCAGGUGACAACCAUUUAGUUGCUUCAACAAUGUUACAUCACUCAACCUCCUCACACCAGUAUGGGUGAAGGAGAAAACAGCAGGGGAAGGGAGCAUUGCCCAAGGCAGCAGGUGGCAGUAUCAUGACCCACCACAAUGAAUUGGAGUUGGACGGCAAAAGGAGACCUGCUGUGCAUCCCUGUUCUGCUCACCUUUGCUUUGUUUACUCCCACAUUGUGAGGAGUGUCUCCUCUGCUCAGCUGUGGAACUGAGUGACUGGACAGUGAGCUUGUGGAGUUGCUGUGGUGUGCAAGAGAUAGCCAGCUACUGUGAUCAUGUUGUGCAGUGUAGUGAAUAAACCGUGUGUCUCAUGAAACCCAAUGUCUCUCUCUCCUGCCCCUGUGUUGCAUGUGACUGCCAUGACAGACCUUCUGCCAGGCUGGACAGCAUGCUUUCCUCAUGAGCAGGGUACAGGGACCUAGUGAAAUCCUUGCCCCUGGCUUCCGUAUAGCUUGAGAAAGUAGGUGUUGGCAAGUGUUUGCCUCCCCUCACCCCUGGUCUUCUGUGCUCUCGGCUGGGUUGGUGCAAUGUGUGGUCCAACCAGAAGCCAUGCAAAGUGAGGUGGCAAACUUGAGAGGCACUAUAUAUCCCUCCCUGUGUGUAUUUCUUUCCUUUCUUUUUUCUUUGUUCCUCCGUUCUUCCUUUCUUUGUCAAUAUCAAACCAUAUACAUAUAUUUAAAUUAAAACCAACAAUGGUGUCUGAGUGCAUCAGUUACUGCAUCUCCUUGCUGGCCAAGGCAACAGCUGUGAUGUGUUCAUUCCUAGUAUUGUCACUGGUGUUCUACACAUUGCAACAGUGUGCUAGAGUCUUUUAUCUCAAAAUCCUUUUGAUUACGGUUGAAGUGGAAUGGCUGGUGACUUUAACCUUGGUAUCACAACUGAGAUACAGUCACUCCCAGUAGCUUGUAAUUUCCGAAGACUAUUUACAAUAUAACAUGGCAGCACCUAUGUUUCUAAUAUGCAUCAUAACAAGUUACAAGAGCAGCCAUGUGAAUUAUGAGGGCUUUUAGGAGAUACAAGGUUUCCAGUAUGCACCCCAUGACUUUGAAUGUCUAUGUGUAGAGAUGUUGUGUGGUAGGAGAAACUACCUUAUAUCAGUUUGUUGAAAACCUGGAGGUAACAUGAAUAACUUUGUGAAUAAAUUACAGGAAGUGCUUGAGUAUAUUUACAAUCAAAAUUAGUGAUGUAUUCUCAUUCAGUGGUUAGAAAAUAAAUACGAUGAACAAGGCGAUAAUUUCAAAGUUCCUGAAUUUAUAACAUUAAUGUACAGCUUCUCUCUGUUCUUGCAACUAUGAAACCAAUCAGGGUGAUGAACAACUCUGCAUCCUUAAUUGAUCACAUAUGAUCAAAUCAAGCAGAAUUAAUGUCUCAAAUUACAUCAUACAUACUGACAUUUCGGAUAAUUUUCCAAUUGUUUCCCAAUUCCGCAACCACAGUAACCAGAUUCAGUUUGUAAAGACUAUUUGCAGGAUGAUUUUUAAUAUUGAGAAUGCUGAUAAAUUUAUUAGUGAUCUUUCACAGGUUAUAUGGGAUGAUGUACUUACUUGUACUAACCCUAAUACAGAAUAUGAAAUAUUUUUCUUUAAAUUUAAUUAACUAUUUCAGCAUAAUUUCCCACUAGGCUUGUAAGGCAUAGAAUUACAAAAAGAUCUCAGAACUGUCCUUAUUCAACUUUUAGUCUGUUAAAAUGUAUAAAAGAGAAACAAAGAUUAGCACAACUAGAUAAGAAAUGGCCAUUGUCAUUUAAGGACAUAUAAAUCAUAAAGAAGCAAUUAUAUCAAUAAUAACCAAGAAUGUGAUAAAAAUAUUUGUAAAACAGUUAUCAUUUAAUGGAUCAAUAUAACAAACCUAAUAAUACCCAUAUUAAUUCAAAACAUGUUUUUGGUACUGACGCUGCUAAUGCAUUUUAAUGAUCUCUUUCUUAACUCUGCUGAGGAGUGUUCAAAUAAUAAUGAUUUUAGUUUCAGAGAUUACCUCAUACAUUCUUCUAAUUUCUCACUAUAUUUCUAUCCAUGUGAUCAACUAGAAGUAAAAAAUUUACAUCAACUCUAAAAUCAAAUUCAGUAGGCUAUGAUGAUGUUCCAGCAUUUGUCUUAAAAGCAACCUCUAACUAUAUAUCACUUCCUUUAUCCAAUUUAAUAAAUCUGUCUUUCAGUUGUGGUAUUUUUCUAGGUAAACUGAAAAUAGCAAAGGCAAUUUCUGUUCCCAAAUCUGGUGGCAAAGAUGAAAUAAAGAAUUACAGAUUAAUCUCCAUUCUACCAUCAGUUAACAAAGUAUCUGAGAAGUAUAUUGCUUGAGUAAUUUUUUGGAAGAAGAAUCUACUAUAAAAUAUUAAUGACUGCCAAUAUGGUUUUUGGAAAAGCAGGUCAGCAUAUUUAUCAUGUUUGUGUCAAUAUGACAAAGAUUUGUGACAUAUUGUUUCAUAUUCACCAUGAACCUGCUACUCAAGUUAUGCUAAUUAUUUAUAAUACUCUUUGUUAUAAUAAGAUCAUGUAUUCCAUAUCUAUUUGGGGAUGUACAUGGUCAUUAUCUUCAGAGAGUUGUCAAGGCUGAAAAGCUAUUUUACAUGCUAUAACAUUCAAGAAAAGUACUUUAGGUACAGUACUUUACAUUGAUCACUGUUUAGUUCAAUAAAAAUUGGUAAAAUUUUUCAAAUACAGGUUCAUUUGAACAAUACUAGAAGAAAUCUAGUAAAUUUAGUAUGUCCAUUUUUCUUGCCCCCUUCUUCCUGCUACUAAUUCUAGACAGGGGUCUUAUCCAUCCUUGUAUGGAGUAUGCUUCAUGUUUUUUUUUUUUUUGAUGGGGGGAGGGGCUGUUCUACUCAUUCUGCUAUUUUAGACUGAGUGGAAUCAAAAGCUUUUCAUCUCAUCAAUUCCCUCCUCUAAUUGACCGUCUUCAGCCUCUUUCUCAUCACCACAAUGUUGCAUCUCUUGUCUUUUACCACUAUUUUCAUGCUAACUGCUCUUCUGAUCUUGCUAACUGCAUGCCUUCCCUCUUUCAGCAGUCUCACUGCAUAAGACUCUUCCUCCUCUCAUCCCUAUUCUGUUCACCUCUCUAAUGCAAGAGUUAACCAGUAUUCUCAAUUAUUCAUCCCUUUAUCUGGUAAAUUCUAGAACUCCCUGUCUGCUUCUGUAUUUUCUCCUUCCUAUGACUUGGACUCUUUCAGGAGGGAGGUUUCAAGACACUUAUCCACUGUUUUUUUUUUUUUUUAUCAUUGUAUCUGACAUUUGUGUGGGAACUGGCAAUAAAUGUUUUUUUUCUUUUUCAUAUUUUUUGUUGCCCUUGGCCAGUGGCUCUCUUACAUAAAAAAAAAAAAAAAAUGCAUGAAGUUAGGUUUUCAUUUCGUAACGUUCAUAAAAGGUUUUCAGCCCAUGUUGGAACUAGUGGAAAGAGUAUAAACCUUUCUUUUAAAUUAUAUAGGAUCACUUUUCUAUGUACACACAGUAUUUUGUUCACCACUACUACAUCCCACUCCUAUUUUUCUUUUGAUUGAAUUUUGUGACUAAAUUUGCACAAAUUUUUCAUCCUAAAUAGACACAUCUACCACCUUUUUUCAUCAUUUCAUCUUCUAUUCUAAUUUCAAGAUCUAUCAUGAAAAUGCUAAACAUGGUCCAUGCUUUCUUUACUAUCAAAUCUAUUACCUGGCUUUUUUGUAGGAUUACAAAUUAAUUUGCUGUCAUUCACUGUUAGUUUCAUCUGCAAACCUGGGAUUAUCUGACUAUUCUCUAUUCAUCUUCAUUCUUGUCUCUUCUUGUAAUGUCAGCAUUCUCAAGGAGUCAAAUAGCUGAGAUCUCAAGAUAUUAAUUGUUCAUGUUCCUAAAUAGUACCUAUUCCAUAGAUUAUUUUUGUAUAUACAUGUAAUAUUCUCCUUCCCUCUGUAUUCCCCUUUUUCCCUUCUUUUCCUCUCUCUCUCUCUCUCUCUCUCUCUCUCUCUCUCUCUCUCUCUCUCUCUCUCUCUCUCUCUCUCUCUCUCUCUCUCUCUCUCUCUCUCGCUAUAUCCACACCAUGAUGUACAGAUAGUUAAUUUAGCAAAGGAAAACAUUCCUUUUAUUCUAUUGCUCACCUUACCAUGUUCCUAUAUUUUCUCCAUAUCCCUUGUAACAUAUUACUCAUACACACAUAUUGUAAAUGAUGGUAUACCCCCCUCCCUAUGAAAUUAGUGAGUAGUGCAGUGAUGCAUCAUAUUUAACAAACUUCAGCAGUGGCUUCAACCCAAAUACUAGAGGCGAUUGUCUCAACUUAAUGGUGAAUACUCUGCAUCAUCUUUCACAAGUAGUGAAUGUAUAAUCUUUUCUCUCAUCUCUCUGAGACUUUUGUAUACACACAAAAGUGAAAUUACCCUUGAUUUAGAUAAAUCGAGUUAUUUUUCAUGUGUCACAUAUACAGCAGGGCUCAUGGGUCUCUCACUUUCCAUGAGACAGUGCCAGUAACAUCCCAACUUUCUGCCUGACAGGUUAGUGAUUGGCUCACUCCCCCAAAAAUUCCCUUUGCUUACAUAGCUCUUUUGUGCAAUUAUCACCUUAUUGAACAUAGUGUCAUUGUAAAGUACAUGAGUAACAUCCCUAUUUCCUGGUUGACAGGUUAAGUGAAUUAACACCACAUGUUCUCACAGUGACCACCAUCACAUUACACAUACAAUUAACCCCACCUCUUAUUGUUCUCUUGAAUAUUUCAGCAUUACUAAUUAGUAUAUGCCAGUGUGUCCAACAGGACCAUGAACAAGUGAUAUUUUUGUUAGUGUUCAUUAAACUGUAUGGAGAGGAGUGUAAUCAUAGGUAGGUAGGGGUAAGUAGAAGCAGACUCUUUGUUAAACAUCACAGUUACAAGAGAGAAAUGUAUUACUUUAUUGUGAAAAAUACUAGUCUUCUUUCCAUGUAGAAGAAGGUAUAUGUUUAUUUUUGUAUUAUCUUUGAUGGAUUCUUUGGCCAGUAAAUGUGAUUUAUCUUAGUUUUCUAUACAUUAUGUGUGGAGCUUAUCUACUAGCCUCCCUUGUGCUCAUGCAUAGACAAAUAAAUGCUACCAUUUAUUUUGGUUAUCAAA